AAUAAAUUGCUAAAUUCUAUAAUAAUUUCUGUUAUAUCAGCUCAUCAUCUUUUCUCUUUUUCUUUUGCUGUCCCCCAACUAUUCCUCUUUCUGGUCAGUGUGUGCCCUGAUUUCUUUCCGAAGAAUGACCUCUCUCCAGUCUGCAGGGACUGUGAAUAAGGGUCUCUGAACUUCCUUAGCCUAUAUAUAUUUUUCCUUUUUUUUGAGGGAGUACUCUGAAUCUAGAACUGAGUGUUACAAAGAUGUAAAAGACAGUUGGAGUUCAUUCCUGUGUAGUACCCUAAAGAGACUGUCAAGGUGUCCUGCAGCCUCCAUGCCCAAAGCUGGAUGGUUACUGACUGAAUGCUAAGCUGACUCCAAGCUUGGGCUCAAAGUCUCUUUGCCCUUUUGAGUUCUUUAAGACUGGUCCAGUAAAUUCUCUUUCUAAUUUAACCAGAAUGGGUUUCUGAUACUUAAAACCAUGGAAGCCUAACAAACAGAGACAGAAUUUUUGUGGGGAGUUCCAGAACUCCGGUAAUCACCAGACUCCCAGUGUCCUAGUGAAUGAACUAUGGAGAGGAUGGAGGGAUACUUUCAGGAUUCUGGUGUCACACAUUCUACAUGAAAAGUGGUUGUAUAUUGCACUCCACUUUGCAAAUGAAAUAAAACACUGGAAGAAGACAUACAUAAGAGAAAAAGCAUUGCUCUCAGCUUUUACGCCGUUUCCUAGUUUAUUUGGGACUCUGUCCUCUACCCAGACAUCGGUCAUUUGAGAUCCGUGCCAGGCAAGAUUGAUACAACAGAAAGAUAUUGAAUUCCAACAGUUUUUAAAAAAGUCAUUAAGAAAUUGGAACCCAGGAAUCAAAGUGUCAAUAAUAGAAGACUACCAAUAAUACAAAGACUCAUGGAAACCAAAAGCCAAAGGAGAACUGUGAGUGUGCAUUUUUCUCUCUUGUGCCAUUUGCGACUCUUUUGACUUUAAGUGCCAUGUGUAUAUUUUAGGGGGUUUGCUAGGACUAAGAUUGGACUAGCUUUUCCUUCUCAGAGUGCUCAGAUCCAAGUGACACUGAAGGAAAAAUCAUGAGGAAGUUUGGAGCCAGCUCCUGGUGCUUGAGCAUAAAGUCAAAAAGAAACUAUAAUUCAGUUACACUGUUAAGUGUGAUGAUAUAG
This 1149-nucleotide long non-coding RNA is filed under the name Vulpes vulpes (red fox). RNAcentral's name for it is "lncRNA (ENSVVUG00000030053.1)". Lineage: Eukaryota; Metazoa; Chordata; Mammalia; Carnivora; Canidae. The record is from RNAcentral.